UUUUUAAUGAGAGUUUGAUCCUGGCUCAGGACGAACGCUGGCGGCGUGCCUAACACAUGCAAGUCGAGCGAUGAAG
This 76-nucleotide ribosomal RNA is filed under the name Clostridium uliginosum. RNAcentral's name for it is "16S rRNA. Bacterial SSU". It matches the Rfam family "Bacterial small subunit ribosomal RNA", at positions 1 to 74 of the family's 1533-position model. Lineage: Bacteria; Bacillati; Bacillota; Clostridia; Eubacteriales; Clostridiaceae. The record is from RNAcentral.